CGCACGGUAAACGAUGGAUGCCCGUUCUGCGGCCUUCGGGCCACGGGACCAAGCGAAAGCAUUAAGCAUCCCACCUGGGGAGUACGCCGGCAACGGUGAAACUCAAAGGAAUUGACGGGGGCCCGCACAAGCGGAGGAACAUGUGGUUUAAUUCGAUGAUACGCGAGGAACCUUACCCGGGCUUGAAUUGCAGACUAAGGUCGUGGAGACACGCCCGUCCUUCGGGAAGUCUGUGAAGGUGC
RNAcentral lists this ribosomal RNA (242 nucleotides) under uncultured bacterium. RNAcentral describes it as "partial 16S ribosomal RNA". It matches the Rfam family "Bacterial small subunit ribosomal RNA", at positions 796 to 1041 of the family's 1533-position model. The record is from RNAcentral.